This 2902-nucleotide ribosomal RNA is filed under the name Klebsiella pneumoniae. RNAcentral's name for it is "23S ribosomal RNA". It matches the Rfam family "Bacterial large subunit ribosomal RNA". Lineage: Bacteria; Pseudomonadati; Pseudomonadota; Gammaproteobacteria; Enterobacterales; Enterobacteriaceae. The record is from RNAcentral.
GGUUAAGCGACUAAGCGUACACGGUGGAUGCCCUGGCAGUCAGAGGCGAUGAAGGACGUGCUAAUCUGCGAAAAGCGUCGGUAAGGUGAUAUGAACCGUUACAGCCGGCGAUGUCCGAAUGGGGAAACCCAGUGUGAUUCGUCACACUAUCGUUAACUGAAUACAUAGGUUAACGAGGCGAACCGGGGGAACUGAAACAUCUAAGUACCCCGAGGAAAAGAAAUCAACCGAGAUUCCCCCAGUAGCGGCGAGCGAACGGGGAGCAGCCCAGAGUCUGAAUCAGCUUGUGUGUUAGUGGAACGGUCUGGAAAGUCCGACGGUACAGGGUGAUAGUCCCGUACACCAAAAUGCACAGGUUGUGAACUCGAAGAGUAGGGCGGGACACGUGGUAUCCUGUCUGAAUAUGGGGGGACCAUCCUCCAAGGCUAAAUACUCCUGACUGACCGAUAGUGAACCAGUACCGUGAGGGAAAGGCGAAAAGAACCCCGGCGAGGGGAGUGAAAAAGAACCUGAAACCGUGUACGUACAAGCAGUGGGAGCACCUUCGGGUGUGACUGCGUACCUUUUGUAUAAUGGGUCAGCGACUUAUAUUCUGUAGCAAGGUUAACCGUAUAGGGGAGCCGCAGGGAAACCGAGUCUUAACUGGGCGUUAAGUUGCAGGGUAUAGACCCGAAACCCGGUGAUCUAGCCAUGGGCAGGUUGAAGGUUGGGUAACACUAACUGGAGGACCGAACCGACUAAUGUUGAAAAAUUAGCGGAUGACUUGUGGCUGGGGGUGAAAGGCCAAUCAAACCGGGAGAUAGCUGGUUCUCCCCGAAAGCUAUUUAGGUAGCGCCUCGUGAAUUCAUCUUCGGGGGUAGAGCACUGUUUCGGCUAGGGGGUCAUCCCGACUUACCAACCCGAUGCAAACUACGAAUACCGAAGAAUGUUAUCACGGGAGACACACGGCGGGUGCUAACGUCCGUCGUGAAGAGGGAAACAACCCAGACCGCCAGCUAAGGUCCCAAAGUCAUGGUUAAGUGGGAAACGAUGUGGGAAGGCACAGACAGCCAGGAUGUUGGCUUAGAAGCAGCCAUCAUUUAAAGAAAGCGUAAUAGCUCACUGGUCGAGUCGGCCUGCGCGGAAGAUGUAACGGGGCUAAACCAUGCACCGAAGCUGCGGCAGCGACACUAUGUGUUGUUGGGUAGGGGAGCGUUCUGUAAGCCUGCGAAGGUGACCUGUGAGGGUUGCUGGAGGUAUCAGAAGUGCGAAUGCUGACAUAAGUAACGAUAAAGCGGGUGAAAAGCCCGCUCGCCGGAAGACCAAGGGUUCCUGUCCAACGUUAAUCGGGGCAGGGUGAGUCGACCCCUAAGGCGAGGCCGAAAGGCGUAGUCGAUGGGAAACAGGUUAAUAUUCCUGUACUUGGUGUUACUGCGAAGGGGGGACGGAGAAGGCUAUGUUAGCCGGGCGACGGUUGUCCCGGUUUAAGCAUGUAGGCUGAUUGUCCAGGCAAAUCCGGAUAAUCAAGGCUGAGGUGUGAUGACGAGGCACUACGGUGCUGAAGUAACAAAUGCCCUGCUUCCAGGAAAAGCCUCUAAGCAUCAGGUAACAUUAAAUCGUACCCCAAACCGACACAGGUGGUCAGGUAGAGAAUACCAAGGCGCUUGAGAGAACUCGGGUGAAGGAACUAGGCAAAAUGGUGCCGUAACUUCGGGAGAAGGCACGCUGGUGUGUAGGUGAAGCCCCUGCGGGUGGAGCUGAGACCAGUCGAAGAUACCAGCUGGCUGCAACUGUUUAUUAAAAACACAGCACUGUGCAAACACGAAAGUGGACGUAUACGGUGUGACGCCUGCCCGGUGCCGGAAGGUUAAUUGAUGGGGUUAUCCGUAAGGAGAAGCUCUUGAUCGAAGCCCCGGUAAACGGCGGCCGUAACUAUAACGGUCCUAAGGUAGCGAAAUUCCUUGUCGGGUAAGUUCCGACCUGCACGAAUGGCGUAAUGAUGGCCAGGCUGUCUCCACCCGAGACUCAGUGAAAUUGAACUCGCUGUGAAGAUGCAGUGUACCCGCGGCAAGACGGAAAGACCCCGUGAACCUUUACUAUAGCUUGACACUGAACAUUGAGCCUUGAUGUGUAGGAUAGGUGGGAGGCUUUGAAGCGUGGACGCCAGUCUGCGUGGAGCCAACCUUGAAAUACCACCCUUUAAUGUUUGAUGUUCUAACGUUGGCCCCUGACCGGGGUUGCGGACAGUGUCUGGUGGGUAGUUUGACUGGGGCGGUCUCCUCCCAAAGCGUAACGGAGGAGCACGAAGGUUAGCUAAUCCUGGUCGGACAUCAGGAGGUUAGUGCAAUGGCAUAAGCUAGCUUGACUGCGAGCGUGACGGCGCGAGCAGGUGCGAAAGCAGGUCAUAGUGAUCCGGUGGUUCUGAAUGGAAGGGCCAUCGCUCAACGGAUAAAAGGUACUCCGGGGAUAACAGGCUGAUACCGCCCAAGAGUUCAUAUCGACGGCGGUGUUUGGCACCUCGAUGUCGGCUCAUCACAUCCUGGGGCUGAAGUAGGUCCCAAGGGUAUGGCUGUUCGCCAUUUAAAGUGGUACGCGAGCUGGGUUUAGAACGUCGUGAGACAGUUCGGUCCCUAUCUGCCGUGGGCGCUGGAGAAUUGAGGGGGGCUGCUCCUAGUACGAGAGGACCGGAGUGGACGCAUCACUGGUGUUCGGGUUGUCAUGCCAAUGGCACUGCCCGGUAGCUAAAUGCGGAAGAGAUAAGUGCUGAAAGCAUCUAAGCACGAAACUUGCCCCGAGAUGAGUUCUCCCUGAGACUUUAAGUCUCCUGAAGGAACGUUGAAGACGACGACGUUGAUAGGCCGGGUGUGUAAGCGCAGCGAUGCGUUGAGCUAACCGGUACUAAUGAACCGUGAGGCUUAACCUU